AAUGGCGAAUGAACAGGAAUUGGUUCAUCGUGAAACAUAGAGCAUCUAGUUCUACUUUGCAGUCGCAAGAUGUACUAGCAACGGUGGUGCAUGUGUAAGCCUUUUGGAAAAGAGUAUUCGCACGGGUUAGAAUCCCAUGUCCCUCAUGCAAUACCCCGGUGCCUGGUAUACAUUCUCCGAGUCGCGCUUCUUGGGCAUGGAGCGCCAAUUGGGUGGUAGGUUUCACCUAAAGCUUCACACCAGUCUGAGACCGAUAGCAAACAAGUACUAUGAAGGGAAGGUGAACAAGGACUUUGGAAAGAAAGUUAAAUGUGCUUGAACUCGCUGAAAGGAAAGUGGGUGCAAUUUGUGUGACUGAACGAGAUUGUUGUGUGCANNNNNNNNNNNNNNNNNNNNNNNNNNNUCUAACGCACAUGCAAGUUCACAGGUGUGGGAACCUGUGUGCACAACGAAAGUAUCUGUUUGGAUAUUUGCACCAGCAACUGACCAAACGAUGGAGCGAGGUUUGAGUGUGAGCAUGUUUGCUAGGUCCCGAAAGAUGGUGAACUAUACUUGUGCAGGGCAACUCCAGAGGAAACUCUGGUGGAGGUCCGCAGCGAUACUGACGUGCAAAUCGUUCGUCGCACAUGGGUAUAGGGGCGAAAGACUAAUCGAACCAUCUAGUAGCUGGUCCCUUCCGAAGUUUCCCUCAGGAUAGCUGGAGUUGAGCAGUUUCACCAGGUAAAGCAAUGGUUGGAGGAUUCAGGGGCGCGCUGCCCUUGACCUACUCUCAAACUUUAAAUGGGUAAGUACCAGUGGCUACUUGGGUGAGCUUCUGGGUUACAUGGCAACUUUAAGUGGGCCAAUUUUGGUAAGCAGAACUGGUGAUGAGGGAUGAACCUAACGUUUGGUUAAGGUGCUUAAUUUCUCGCUCAUCAGAUACCAUAAAGGGUGUUGGUUCAUUUUCACAGCAGGACAGUGGUCAUGGAAGUCGAAAUCUGCUAAGGAGUGUGUAACAACUCACCUGC
This 1007-nucleotide ribosomal RNA is filed under the name Protoperidinium oblongum. RNAcentral describes it as "partial 28S rRNA". It matches the Rfam family "Eukaryotic large subunit ribosomal RNA", at positions 85 to 1297 of the family's 3401-position model. Lineage: Eukaryota; Dinophyceae; Peridiniales; Protoperidiniaceae. The record is from RNAcentral.